UGGGGAAUUUUCCGCAAUGGGCGAAGGCCUGACGGAGCAAUACCGCGUGAGGGAGGAAGGCUUUUGGGUUGUAAACCUCUUUUCUUAGGGAAGAAGAAAGUGACGGUACCUAAGGAAUCAGCAUCGGCUAACUCCGUGCCAGCAGCCGCGGUAAUACGGAGGGCGCUAGCGUUGUUCGGAAUCACUGGGCGUAAAGGGCGCGUAGGCGGCUGUUUAAGUCGGGGGUGAAAGCCCGGGGCUCAACCUCGGAACGGCCUUCGAGACUGGGCAGCUGGUGACCGGAAGAGGAGGGUGGAAUACCCAGUGUAGAGGUGAAAUUCGUAGAUAUUGGGUGGAACACUAGUGGCGAAAGCGGCUCUCUGGUCCGGUUCUGACGCUGAGGCGCGAAAGCGUGGGGAGCAAACAGGAUUAGAUACCCGGGUAGUCC
This 427-nucleotide ribosomal RNA is filed under the name uncultured prokaryote. RNAcentral's name for it is "bacterial SSU rRNA". It matches the Rfam family "Bacterial small subunit ribosomal RNA", at positions 355 to 796 of the family's 1533-position model. The record is from RNAcentral.